This 809-nucleotide long non-coding RNA is filed under the name Homo sapiens (human). RNAcentral's name for it is "novel transcript". Lineage: Eukaryota; Metazoa; Chordata; Mammalia; Primates; Hominidae. The record is from RNAcentral.
GGCAUUUCCUCCCCGCUAGCUGGCGCGGCCUCGCCUCCCCCUCGGAAGAGGAAACUCCCGGGGUCCGAGUAACAGGGUCAGGCGCGGAGAGGAGCGGCGGGAGAGCCAGGAGGGCCGCCCAGGCUAUGUCCUCCUGCGCUGUCGCCACGCUGUCCGGCAGCGCUUCCUGCCCGGGUCUCCCCGUCUGGAGGGUCACGCCGCCUUCUCCUCGAGACACUUCCGAGAGCCGGGCCUCAGCAUCCUGCUGGAGAGUUACUACGAGCAUGAGGUGCGCCUGUCUCCGCACGUGUUGGGCCACAGCAAGGCGCACGUGAGCCGGAUCGUGGGCGAGCUGGUGCGGGCUGGCCGCGCCCGGGGGUCCCCCGGUCUCAUUCCUGGGGGAGCGCUGGCCUUGGCCUUCCGCGGAGACUUCAUCCAGGGUCUCAGUCUGUUGCCCAGGCUGGAGUGCAGUGGCAAGAUUGCAGCUCAUUGCAGCCUUGACCUCCUGGGCUCAAGCGAUCCUCCUGCCUCGGCCUCCCAACUAGCUGGGACCACAGGUUCCUUGGAAGAGUCAAAAAGUAAAAUGGAGAAACUGAGAAGUGUUAUCUAAAUGUCGACUGUGUUCUUUUAGGAAUGCACCAGCAUUUCUGGAACCACAGGAAGUUGGAACCAUUAAACGAGGGUUUUCUUUCUAGAAUCUCUGGUCUGCUGCUGUGCAGAUGGACCUGCCGGCACUGCUGUCAGAAGUGCUACGAGUCCAGCUGUUGCCAGUCAAGUGAGGAUGAAGUUGAAAUUCUGGGACCUUUCCCUGCUCAGACCCCUCCCUGGCU